ACAAUAUUCAAUAAUUCUUUCAGAUUGUUGAUAUUGUUGUUGGAAAAGAUGAGAAAGGCAGAAAGAUUCCAGAAUAUCUGAUCCAUUUUAAUGGUUGGAACAGAAGCUGGGAUAGAUGGGCAGCUGAAGAUCAUGUUCUUCGUGAUACGGACGAAAAUCGCAGAUUACAGCGUAAAUUGGCACGGAAGGCUGUGGCUCGCAUGAGAAGAAAGGGAAGAAAGAAGAGACGCUGC
Struthio camelus australis is the source of this 233-nucleotide non-coding RNA. The record is from RefSeq and is a predicted model, not a curated record. Lineage: Eukaryota; Metazoa; Chordata; Aves; Struthioniformes; Struthionidae.